Molecule: ribosomal RNA, 565 nt
Filed under: Rhodotorula graminis
Lineage: Eukaryota; Fungi; Basidiomycota; Microbotryomycetes; Sporidiobolales; Sporidiobolaceae
Description: partial large subunit ribosomal RNA
Rfam family: Eukaryotic large subunit ribosomal RNA
Source: RNAcentral
UAGUAGCGGCGAGCGAAGCGGGAAGAGCUCAAAUUUAUAAUCUGGCACCUUCGGUGUCCGAGUUGUAAUCUCUAGAAGUGUUUUCCGCGUUGGACCGCACACAAGUCUGUUGGAAUACAGCGGCAUAGUGGUGAAACCCCCGUAUAUGGUGCGGACGCCCAGCGCUUUGUGAUACACUUUCAAUGAGUCGAGUUGUUUGGGAAUGCAGCUCAAAUUGGGUGGUAAAUUCCAUCUAAAGCUAAAUAUUGGCGAGAGACCGAUAGCGAACAAGUACCGUGAGGGAAAGAUGAAAAGCACUUUGGAAAGAGAGUUAACAGUACGUGAAAUUGUUGGAAGGGAAACGCUUGAAGUCAGACUUGCUUGCCGGAGCUUGCUUCGGUUUGCAGGCCAGCAUCAGUUUUCCGGGGUGGAUAAUGACGGUUUGAAGGUAGCAGUCUCGGCUGUGUUAUAGCUUUCCGUUGGAUACAUCCUGGGGGACUGAGGAACGCAGCGUGCUUUUUGCGAAAGACUCGUCUUUUUCACGCUUAGGAUGCUGGUGGAAUGGCUUUAAACGACCCGUCUUGAA